RNAcentral lists this ribosomal RNA (460 nucleotides) under uncultured bacterium. RNAcentral describes it as "partial 16S ribosomal RNA". It matches the Rfam family "Bacterial small subunit ribosomal RNA", at positions 338 to 795 of the family's 1533-position model. The record is from RNAcentral.
CCUACGUGAGGCAGCAUUGAGGAAUAUUGGUCAAUGGGCGGGAGCCUUAACCAGCCAAUUCGCGUGAGUGAAGACGGUCCUAUGGAUUGUAAACCUCUUUAGGCGGGGAGCAAUAACGGGAACGCGUGCCCGACGGGAGAGUACCCGCACAAUAAGCAUAGGCUCACUCCGUGCCAGCAGCCGCGGUACGACGGAGGAUGCGAGCGUUAUACGGAUUUAUUGGGUUUAAAGGUUGCGUAUGCGGAUUUUUAAGUCUGCGGUAAACAGUCGGGGCGCAACCCGGGCCUGCCGUUGAAACUGGGGAGCUUGAGUGUGCGUGAAGUAUGCGGAAUGCGUGGUGUAGCGGUGAAAUGCAUAGAUAGCACGCAGAACUCCGAUUGCGAAGGCAGCAUACCGGAGCCCGACUGACGCUGAGGCACGAAAGCGUGGGGAUCGAACAGGAUUAGAUACCCUGGUAGUC